UACAGAGGGGGCAAGCGUUAUUCGGAAUUAUUGGGCGUAAAGGGCGCGUAGGCGGCCUGGCAAGUGGAAGGUGAAAUCCCUCGGCUUAACCGAGGAACUGCCCUCCAAACUGCUUGGCUUGAGUCCGGGAGAGGUGAGUGGAAUUCCCAGUGUAGCGGUGAAAUGCGUAGAUAUUGGGAGGAACACCAGUGGCGAAGGCGGCUCACUGGACCGGAACUGACGCUGAGGCGCGAAAGCGUGGGGAGCAAACAGGG
RNAcentral lists this ribosomal RNA (254 nucleotides) under uncultured bacterium. Its description in RNAcentral is "partial 16S ribosomal RNA". It matches the Rfam family "Bacterial small subunit ribosomal RNA", at positions 524 to 777 of the family's 1533-position model. The record is from RNAcentral.